This 341-nucleotide RNase P RNA is filed under the name human gut metagenome. RNAcentral describes it as "Bacterial RNase P class A". It matches the Rfam family "Bacterial RNase P class A". Rfam says of the family: Ribonuclease P (RNase P) is a ubiquitous endoribonuclease, found in archaea, bacteria and eukarya as well as chloroplasts and mitochondria. The record is from RNAcentral.
GUAAGACAGAUGGUCGCUGCCACGGGACCGAAAGGCCGUGGGAGAGGAAAGUCCGGGCUUCACAGGGCAGGAUGCCAGAUAACGUCUGGCGGAGGUGACUCCAGAGACAGUGCAACAGAAAUAAACCGCCGGUUCGUCCGGUAAGGGUGGAAAGGCAGUGUAAGAGACUACCGCCUGGCUGGUAACAGACAGGGCACAUGUAAACCUCAUCCGAAGCAAGACCGAACAGAAAGCAUAAGGCGGCCCGUCUGCUUUCGGGUAGGUCGCUUGAGCCUGGUGGUGACAUCAGGACUAGAUAGAUGACCAUCCAACGACAUAACCCGGCUUAUCGUCUUACUCGU